RNAcentral lists this ribosomal RNA (546 nucleotides) under Fusarium oxysporum. RNAcentral's name for it is "eukaryotic LSU rRNA". The stretch from base 187 to 340 matches the Rfam family "5.8S ribosomal RNA". The record is from RNAcentral. Lineage: Eukaryota; Fungi; Ascomycota; Sordariomycetes; Hypocreales; Nectriaceae.
CGGCGUGGAGUCGGAUGGUGACCGGCGGAGGGACAUUACCGAGUUUACAACUCCCAAACCCCUGUGAACAUACCAAUUGUUGCCUCGGCGGAUCAGCCCGCUCCCGGUAAAACGGGACGGCCCGCCAGAGGACCCCUAAACUCUGUUUCUAUAUGUAACUUCUGAGUAAAACCAUAAAUAAAUCAAAACUUUCAACAACGGAUCUCUUGGUUCUGGCAUCGAUGAAGAACGCAGCAAAAUGCGAUAAGUAAUGUGAAUUGCAGAAUUCAGUGAAUCAUCGAAUCUUUGAACGCACAUUGCGCCCGCCAGUAUUCUGGCGGGCAUGCCUGUUCGAGCGUCAUUUCAACCCUCAAGCCCCCGGGUUUGGUGUUGGGGAUCGGCGAGCCCUUGCGGCAAGCCGGCCCCGAAAUCUAGUGGCGGUCUCGCUGCAGCUUCCAUUGCGUAGUAGUAAAACCCUCGCAACUGGUACGCGGCGCGGCCAAGCCGUUAAACCCCCAACUUCUGAAUGUUGACCUCGGAUCAGGUAGGAAUACCCGCUGAACUUAA